AGUGGGAUAGCUGGAUCAAAUGGUGGUUCCAUUGCAAGUUUUCUGAGGAAUAUCCAUACUGCUUUCCAUAUUGUUUGUACCAAUUUGCAGUCCCACCAGCAAU
Molecule: microRNA precursor, 103 nt
Filed under: Marmota monax (woodchuck)
Lineage: Eukaryota; Metazoa; Chordata; Mammalia; Rodentia; Sciuridae
Source: RNAcentral